Molecule: ribosomal RNA, 512 nt
Filed under: uncultured bacterium
Lineage: Bacteria
Description: bacterial SSU rRNA
Rfam family: Bacterial small subunit ribosomal RNA
Source: RNAcentral
UAGUCCACGCCGUAAACGAUGCAUGCUAGACGUUGGAGGCUUAGCCUUCAGUGUCGUAGCUAACGCGAUAAGCAUGCCGCCUGGGAAGUACGGUCGCAAGAUUAAAACUCAAAGGAAUUGACGGGGACCCGCACAAGCGGUGGAGCAUGUGGUUUAAUUCGACGCUACGCGAAGAACCUUACCAACUUUUGACAUGGAGGUCGCGAAAUAAAGAGAUUUAUUUCUUCAGUUCGGCUGGACCUCACACAGGUGCUGCAUGGCUGUCGUCAGCUCGUGUCGUGAGAUGUUGGGUUAAGUCCCGCAACGAGCGCAACCCUCGCCUUUAGUUGCCAACAGGUAAUGCUGGGGACUCUAAAGGUACUGCCAGUGGUAAGCUGGAGGAAGGAGGGGAUGAAGUCAAGUCCUCAUGGCCCUUAUGGGUUGGGCUGCACACGUGCUACAAUGGCGGUGACAGAGGGAAGCGAAAGGGUGACCUGGAGCGAAUCCCUUAAAAGCCGUCUCAGUUCGGAUUG